RNAcentral lists this ribosomal RNA (388 nucleotides) under uncultured bacterium. RNAcentral describes it as "bacterial SSU rRNA". It matches the Rfam family "Bacterial small subunit ribosomal RNA", at positions 28 to 417 of the family's 1533-position model. The record is from RNAcentral.
GACGAACGCUGGCGGCGUGCUUAACACAUGCAAGUCGAGCGGUAAGGCCCUUUCGGGGGUACACGAGCGGCGAACGGGUGAGUAACACGUGGGUGACCUGCCCUCAGCUCUGGGAUAAGCCUGGGAAACCGGGUCUAAUACUGGAUAUGACUCCAUGACGCAUGUUGUGGGGUGGAAAGCCUUGUGCGGCUGAGGAUGGGCCCGCGGCCUAUCAGCUUGUUGGUGGGGUGANGGCCUACCAAGGCGACGACGGGUAGCCGGUCUGAGAGGGCGACCGGCCACACUGGGACUGAGACACGGCCCAGACUCCUACGGGAGGCAGCAGUGGGGAAUCUUGCGCAAUGGGCGAAAGCCUGACGCAGCGACGCCGCGUGAGGGAUGACGGCCU